RNAcentral lists this transfer RNA (65 nucleotides) under Encarsia formosa. RNAcentral's name for it is "tRNA-Phe". The record is from RNAcentral. Lineage: Eukaryota; Metazoa; Arthropoda; Insecta; Hymenoptera; Aphelinidae.
AUUUAAAUAGUUUAAUUAAAAUUUAAUAUUGAAGAUAUUAAGAUAAUUUUUAUAAUUUUUAAAUA